AACUUUUGGCAAUGGAUCUCUUGGUUCUGGCAUCGAUGAAGUACGCAGCGAAAUGCGAUAAGUAAUGUGAAUUGCAGAAUUCAGUGAAUCAUCGAAUCUUUGAACGCACAUUGCGCCCCUUGGUAUUCCGGGGGGCAAGCCUGUUCGAGCGUCAUUUCAACCCUCCAGCUUGCUGGGUCUUGGGCUCUGCCGGUCACCCGGCUUGCCUUAAAAUCAGUGGCGGUGCCAUCGAGCUCUACGCGUAGUAAUUUUUUCUCGCGUCUGGUCUUGAUGUGCGUCUUGCCAACAACCCCAAAUUUUUUAUGGUUGACCUCGGAUCAGGUAGGGAUACCCGCUGAACUUAAGCAUAUCAAUAAGCGGAGGCU
Molecule: unclassified non-coding RNA, 365 nt
Filed under: uncultured Phialea
Lineage: Eukaryota; Fungi; Ascomycota; Pezizomycetes; Pezizales
Description: sequence contains ITS2
Rfam family: 5.8S ribosomal RNA (bases 1-154)
Source: RNAcentral